CAAGUCGAACGCGAAAGGGGCUUUGGUCCUGAGUAGAGUGGCGAACGGGUGAGUAACACGUGGGUGAUCUACCUUCGAGUGGGGGAUAACGUCCCGAAAGGGACGCUAAUACCGCAUGACGUUCUGGGUUUAAAGACCUGGAAACCAAAGCCGGGGACCGCAAGGCCUGGCGCUUGAAGAGGAGCCCGCGUCCGAUUAGCUAGUUGGCGGGGUAAUGGCCCACCAAGGCGACGAUCGGUAGCCGGCCUGAGAGGGCGGACGGCCACACUGGAACUGAGACACGGUCCAGACUCCUACGGGAGGCAGCAGUGGGGAAUUGUUCACAAUGGGCGCAAGCCUGAUGACGCAACGCCGCGUGGGGGAUGAAGGUCUUCGGAUCGUAAACCCCUGUCGAAUGGGACGAAAGACCCGGGAGCUAAUCAUCCUGGGAGUGACGGUACCGUUAAAGGAAGCCACGGCUAACUCUGUGCCAGCAGCCGCGGUAAUACAGAGGUGGCAAGCGUUGUUCGGAAUUACUGGGCGUAAAGGGCGCGUAGGCGGCCUUCUAAGUCAGACGUGAAAUCCCCCGGCUUAACCUGGGAACUGCGUCUGAUACUGGGAGGCUUGAGUAUGGGAGAGGGAUGUAGAAUUCCAGGUGUAGCGGUGAAAUGCGUAGAUAUCUGGAGGAAUACCGGUGGCGAAGGCGGCAUCCUGGACCAUAACUGACGCUGAGGCGCGAAAGCUAGGGGAGCAAACGGGAUUAGAUACCCCGGUAGUCCUAGCCCUAAACGAUGAAUACUUGGUGUGGCGGGUAUCGAUCCCUGCCGUGCCGAA
Molecule: ribosomal RNA, 813 nt
Filed under: uncultured Acidobacteriota bacterium
Lineage: Bacteria; Pseudomonadati; Acidobacteriota
Description: bacterial SSU rRNA
Rfam family: Bacterial small subunit ribosomal RNA
Source: RNAcentral